CGCAUCUGUGCAUGCAGCAUAUCAAUAAGCGGAGGAAAAGAAACUAACAAGGAUUCCCCUAGUAACGGCGAGUGAAGAGGGAAGAGCUCAAAUUUGAAAUCUUAAAGGGUUUCCCUUUACGAAUUGUAGUUUAAAGAAGUGUUUUCUGUUGAGGUUUUGGUAAAAGUUCUUUGGAAUAGGACAUCAUAGAGGGUGAGAAUCCCGUAUUUGACCUUUACUUUCAACUUUGUGAUACACUUUCAAAGAGUCGGAUUGUUUGGGAAUGCAGUCCAAAAUGGGUGGUAAAUUUCAUCUAAAGCUAAAUAUUGGCGAGAGACCGAUAGCGAACAAGUACCGUGAGGGAAAGAUGAAAAGAACUUUGAAAAGAGAGUUAAACAGUACGUGAAAUUGUCAAAAGGGAAGCGUUUGACACCAGUGUUGUUUUUCUGAAAAUCUAUUAAAGAACUGUUUAUGCUAAGCUGUUUAGACUUUAUCAGCUAUACUGUUUAGUUUUGAGCUUUUCUUUAAUGCACUUUUCAGUUAACAAGUCAACAUCAAUUUCUUUUGCUGUAAAGAAGCUUGAGGAAGGUGGCUUGAGAUUCGUCUUAAGUGUUUAUAGCCUCUUGCCUAUGCAGUCGGAGAGAUUGAGGUCUGCAGCGUAGAUCCUUCGGGGCUAAAUGCAUUUGUGCUAAGUUAUAACAUUUUAUAGACAACUUGUUGACUAUGAUUUGUCUUGUAGCUUACUCGCUUAUGUUAUUUUACCUACGCUUAGGAUGUUGAGCGCAUGUCUCUCUCU
RNAcentral lists this ribosomal RNA (775 nucleotides) under uncultured Neocallimastigales. RNAcentral describes it as "partial large subunit ribosomal RNA". It matches the Rfam family "Eukaryotic large subunit ribosomal RNA", at positions 26 to 616 of the family's 3401-position model. Lineage: Eukaryota; Fungi; Neocallimastigomycota; Neocallimastigomycetes; Neocallimastigales. The record is from RNAcentral.